UACAGAGGGUGCAAGCGUUGUUCGGAAUUAUUGGGCGUAAAGGGCUCGUAGGCGGUCUGUUGCGUCGGGAGUGAAAACUCAGGGCUUAACCCUGAGCCUGCUUCCGAUACGGGCAGACUAGAGGUAUGCAGGGGAGAACGGAAUUCCUGGUGUAGCGGUGAAUGCGCAGAUAUCAGGAGGAACACCGGUGGCGAAGGCGGAUUCUC
RNAcentral lists this ribosomal RNA (206 nucleotides) under uncultured bacterium. Its description in RNAcentral is "partial 16S ribosomal RNA". It matches the Rfam family "Bacterial small subunit ribosomal RNA", at positions 524 to 729 of the family's 1533-position model. The record is from RNAcentral.